ACCAGUCUUAUUCGCACUUUGUUUUAUCUGUGUGUAUUGAUCAGGUGUACAGGUCGCACCAGAUUCGAGGCUUCUUUAGAUUUGACGCUCUAUAACAGAAGGAAACACUGUCACAC
Long non-coding RNA from Aricia agestis (brown argus), 116 nucleotides. RefSeq lists it as uncharacterized. The record is from RefSeq and is a predicted model, not a curated record. The transcript has 3 exons. NCBI's taxonomy places the organism in Eukaryota, Metazoa, Arthropoda, Insecta, Lepidoptera, Lycaenidae.